UCCCAUCAGGCAAACAGAGACAUCUGCCUC
Molecule: non-coding RNA, 30 nt
Filed under: Mus musculus (house mouse)
Lineage: Eukaryota; Metazoa; Chordata; Mammalia; Rodentia; Muridae
Source: RNAcentral